Vitis vinifera (wine grape) is the source of this 542-nucleotide long non-coding RNA. RefSeq lists it as uncharacterized. The transcript is spliced from 2 exons. NCBI's taxonomy places the organism in Eukaryota, Viridiplantae, Streptophyta, Magnoliopsida, Vitales, Vitaceae. The record is from RefSeq and is a predicted model, not a curated record.
AGACAAGAAAAAGGAUUUCCAAAAUCCAAUUCACUGUGGUGGGAAAAAGGAACAAAACCAUAUUCACUGUGCCUUCUGGUUCUGCAUUUUUCAUCAAAAUCAAGUCACCUUGAUGCUAAGUUUCCCCUUCUUGUGGAUGGAUUUGCUGGAGAUGAUGCUCAUGGGUUCUCUUCCACAGUAAUGUUGGCUGGCCUAGGCAUGCUGUUUUGUGGUGAAUAUUGGUGAUAACACCCAGUCCAAGAGAGGCAUUCUCAUAUUGAAUUUGUUAUCAGUAUGGGUUACUGGCAAUUUGGAUAAUAUGAGAAGGAUCUGAUACCAUCCUUUCUACAAUGAGCUUGGUGUGACUCCUGAAGUGAAGAUGACACAAAUUAUGUUUGCAACCUUUAAUUGUGCCUACCAUGUAUGUUGCCAUCCAAGGGGUACUCUUUCACUAUGCCAGUGGCCAUAUCACAGGCAGAAAUAUAAAUAUUUGUGACGUAGUCAAUUGAUUUGAAUUUUCUUUACUAUUGAUGAGUCUGUUAUGGGAAAGCAAAAUUGAAGCA